ACGAGUUUUUGGGUUGAGGAAAUUGAUACCCUCCUCUCUAAUUUCAUUGGAAUUUAAACAGAAUUGAAUUACAUGAUUCUAAGUAAAGCGAUGCAGUUCCACUGACUAUAACUAACUACCACAGUCCACGGCACUCGUAAAGGAAGUCGUCUUUACGAGUGGAUUUCCGACUCCGUGCUAGGUUCCGUGCACUUGCUCUCUGCCACCGUCGCGUCUAGCUGUAGAUUGAGCUCUAAGCCCAGGAGCUGUUCCGCUAUUGCUUGAUCGAUGAUAAUUGUAACAGUCAUCCUUAAGGAAAUUGUUGGACCUGAACUGAUCUAACCCUAUAUUUAAGGUAAAUUCAAAUGGAAAUUUAAUGUAAAUACAAAUAUAUAUAUAUAAGGUAUCUUCAAACUUAAAGAUUAAAAAUUGAAGAUUUGCCUGCUAGGUACAAGAACAUCCCCAAGUUCGUCGACCCAAUACCGACACGGCGAGCGAUUCAGAAACAUUAGAAUUAGGCUCGGUUUUGAAAAUAACAAAAGGUCUAUUAAUACUGGCCUCUUGAAAAGAGAAAAGACAUGUUACAAUGAAUACUUAUACUGCAUUAGAGAAAGUGAGAGAUUUUGUAAGUCCAUCUCCAAAGAACGACCGACCAUACAUCAUAAAUAUCUUAAAAUUCAAAUAAUUUUAUAUAAUAGCCUACUAAGAGUCGAGGUCGACUCUUAUCUAACUGUAAAUUUAAGGUGAUAGAAAUUUAAUGAAAAUACGUAUAUAAUGACUUAAAAUCCUGUAUAUAACGAGAACAGUUGAUCGAGAUUGAAAAUUAAAGAAUUGACAUGAUGCAAAUAAAGAUUCUACA
RNAcentral lists this long non-coding RNA (838 nucleotides) under Zostera marina. Its description in RNAcentral is "long non-coding RNA (ZMAR_LNC004883)". Lineage: Eukaryota; Viridiplantae; Streptophyta; Magnoliopsida; Alismatales; Zosteraceae. The record is from RNAcentral.